Molecule: RNA transcript, 1685 nt
Organism: Panicum virgatum (switchgrass)
Lineage: Eukaryota; Viridiplantae; Streptophyta; Magnoliopsida; Poales; Poaceae
Exons: 12
Source: RefSeq, a predicted model, not a curated record
AGAUAUUUCCAAUUUCCCGUUCCCACUUCGACAGUGGGGAAGUGGCCGAGGGAGAAGCCAUGGCCGCCGUCCCGCUCCCGCCGCCGCCUCUCCUCGCCUCCCACGCGGCCGUCCGCGCCGCGGCAUCAGCCGUAUGCCGCUCCCGCCGCGCCCGCCGCGCUGGCGACCAACCGCCGCAGGUCGCGGCACUCCUGCGCGGCGACUGGGUCAAGCUCAUCUGCGGCGCCAGCUUCGAGGAUGCUGCUGAUGUCAGGAACCUCUCCCUUGUCUACACGCUUGCUGGAGUGGAUUGCAUUGAUUGUGCAGCAGAUGCAUCUGUGGUGGGUGCAGUCAAUGAGGGUAUUGAUGUAGCAGCCUCAAUCAUACCAGCUGUUCAAAGGCCAUGGGUGAUGGUUAGUGUUAAUGAUGAUUGCAGAGACCUUCAUUUCCGUAAAGCUGAAUUUGAUCCUGAGGAUUGCCCACCGGAUUGCUCAAAGCCAUGUGAGAAAGUUUGUCCUGCUGAUGCAAUAUCACUUGAGAGUGUCAUGGUUGGAGAACACACACAAUCUGAUCCCUUACAUGGUAAAUUUAAGGGUGGUGUUCUUACAGAGCGGUGCUAUGGAUGCGGACGAUGCUUGCCAGUUUGUCCCUAUGACAGAAUAAGAGCCGUGUCCUAUGUUCGAGAUCCAACCACCACUUCUGAACUGUUGAAAAGGAAUGAUGUUGAUGCAAUAGAGAUACAUACCACUGGAAAGGGAACUGAUACAUUCAAUACCCUCUGGAACAGCUUGAGGGAGUCAAUCAGUAAUGUGAAGCUGGUAGCAGUUAGCAUGCCUGAUAUUGGUGAAUCAACUGUUGAUUUCAUGAAUGCGCUAUACGCAAUAAUGGAGCCUCAUAUACAAGGGUACAAUCUUUGGCAGUUGGAUGGCCGACCCAUGAGUGGUGACAUUGGUCGUGGUGCAACAAGGGAAACAGUUUCUUUUGCUGUUCAUAUGGCUUCAGUGUCAGAAAGACCACCUGGCUUCUAUCAGCUGGCCGGUGGCACCAACUCAUACACUGUCGAUUGCUUAAAGAAAGCUGGUCUUUUCCGGUCUACGACUUUUCCUGGGACAGCAACUUCUGAAAUGAUCGGUUCUCAGCAAACUUUAAUCGGAGGGAUUGCUUAUGGCGGCUAUGCUCGCAAGGUUUGAACUAGUGGCAUGGCUUUUAAGCUUGAUCCUUACUGAAACGGAACUGGUGACAUGGCUUUUAAGCUCGAUCCUUACUCAAACAGAAAUCAUUGGAAGAACUCUACGGAAAGUACCGGCACAGUUUGGCUGUGUACGAAUCGAGGAUCAUCCAGAACAUCUACUGGAGGCAUUACAAGAAGCCCUGUCAUUAGUAGGUCCUGUGAAGGGUUAUCCAGCCCUUUCAAGCCUAUCAUGAAAGAGGAGUAGACUGACAAUAGGAAGUAGAUAGCUAUACCUUUGAACCCGGUUUAGAGUGUAGAUUGCCGCCAUCUAGAAGGUGAAGAAGAUGAAAUGCUGCGUGUUUCAGCACCAUCUGGAUACCUGUAUGAUGUCAACAUGCUGAUAAUUGGACGAGGAAUCCAUGUGGUGGCGGAUGGUCCCUUGGUGCUGCCGUUGAAUCUUUGGUGCCGUGGUGCUGCGGACAUCUCCUUUUGCCCUUGUAAAUAAAUAUAGAAAAAAUAGUACGAGUUGACCAGC